RNAcentral lists this ribosomal RNA (210 nucleotides) under uncultured bacterium. RNAcentral's name for it is "partial 16S ribosomal RNA". It matches the Rfam family "Bacterial small subunit ribosomal RNA", at positions 322 to 524 of the family's 1533-position model. The record is from RNAcentral.
AGACACGGUCCAGACUCCUACGGGAGGCAGCAGUGGGGAAUAUUGCACAAUGGGGGAAACCCUGAUGCAGCCAUGCCGCGUGUGUGAAGAAGGCCUUCGGGUUGUAAAGCACUUUCAGCGAGGAGGAAAGGUUGAUGCCUAAUACGUAUCAGCUGUGACGUUACUCGCAGAAGAAGCACCGGCUAACUCCGUGCCAGCAGCCGCGGUAAU